RNAcentral lists this ribosomal RNA (505 nucleotides) under uncultured bacterium. Its description in RNAcentral is "partial 16S ribosomal RNA". It matches the Rfam family "Bacterial small subunit ribosomal RNA", at positions 28 to 507 of the family's 1533-position model. The record is from RNAcentral.
GACGAACGCUGGCGGCGUGCCUAAUACAUGCAAGUAGAACGCACAGUUUAUACCGUAGCUUGCUACACCAUAAACUGUGAGUUGCGAACGGGUGAGUAACGCGUAGGUAACCUGCCUGGUAGCGGGGGAUAACUAUUGGAAACGAUAGCUAAUACCGCAUAAUAUUGAUUAUUGCAUGAUAAUUGAUUGAAAGAUGCUAUUGCAUCACUACCAGAUGGACCUGCGUUGUAUUAGCUAGUAGGUGAGGUAACGGCUCACCUAGGCGACGAUACAUAGCCGACCUGAGAGGGUGAUCGGCCACACUGGGACUGAGACACGGCCCAGUCUCCUACGGGAGGCAGCAGUAGGGAAUCUUCGGCAAUGGACGAAAGUCUGACCGAGCAACGCCGCGUGAGUGAAGAAGGUUUUCGGAUCGUAAAGCUCUGUUGUAAGAGAAGAACGGGUGUGAGAGUGGAAAGUUCACACUGUGACGGUAUCUUACCAGAAAGGGACGGCUAACUACGUG